AGGGUUAAGCAGAGAAAGGCGCAGGGCGGAUGCCUUGGCACUGGGAGCCGACGAAGGACGCGGCAAGCUGCGAAAAGCCAUGGGGAGCCGCACACGGGCAGUGAUCCAUGGGUGUCCGAAUGGGGAAACCCGGCGGGGGAGCACCCCCGCCGCCGCGGGCCGAACACAUAGGCCCGCGGGGGGAACCCGGCGAACUGAAACAUCUAAGUAGCCGGAGGAAGAGAAAGAAAAACGUUUCUGGAAAGAGACAUCGAUUCCGGGAGUAGCGGCGAGCGGAACCGGAGGAGCCCAAACCGGCGUGCUGCGCACGCCGGGGUUCAGGACUGCACACGCGCGCAUGAGCCGAGGCGGAACGGCCCUGGGAAGGCCGGCCGUA
RNAcentral lists this ribosomal RNA (376 nucleotides) under bacterium D16-50. RNAcentral describes it as "bacterial LSU rRNA". It matches the Rfam family "Bacterial large subunit ribosomal RNA", at positions 1 to 359 of the family's 2925-position model. The record is from RNAcentral.